RNAcentral lists this ribosomal RNA (1305 nucleotides) under Elasmosoma sp. QL-2014. RNAcentral describes it as "16S ribosomal RNA". Lineage: Eukaryota; Metazoa; Arthropoda; Insecta; Hymenoptera; Braconidae. The record is from RNAcentral.
AAAUAAAAAAAAAAAAAAUUACUUUUUUAUUCCAUCUCACAAAAAUUAUUUCUCUCAAAUUUGUUAUAUUCUAUUAUUAAAAAAUUUUUAUAAAUUUAAAAUAUAAAUAAUAUCUUUAAAUUUUAAAAAGUAAAAUAUUUUUUUUACCUUUUGUAUCAGGGAUACUCUAACUCCCCCUAAAAAUUAGUGCUUCUCGAAAUAAAAAAAUCUAAUCUUAUAAGUAAUACUUAAUAUCUCAUAAUUAUUAAAAAUAUAAAAUUAGAAACAAUAUAUUAAACAAUUUUUAUGAUAUCUAGUUAUUUAAUAAAUAAAUUUAAUUUAAGUUUAUUAAUCUUGUAUGAAAAUAAUAAUAUUUUCAUAUUAAUAAUAAACAAAUAAUUCAGGGGAUAAGCUCUGAGUUAGCCCUAAAAUAUUAGCUGUUAAAUAAUACAAAUAUAAUUAUAAAAAUAAAAUUCUAUUAAAAAAAAUCUAAUAAUUUAUACUAUAUUAACUUUAAUCUAAUUUAACUAAAAUUUAGAAAAAUAUUAAAUUAAAUCUUUUAACUCCACAAAUAUUAAAAUAAUGAUUAUAUUAAUAAAUUUUUCUUAUAAAAAUAUUUAUCAUAAAAAUAAAUUUUACAAGGAACUCGGCAACUCGAAUAAUUAACCACGUUAAUUUAUGAUACUCACCUGUUUACCAAAAACAUGUCUUAAAGACCUUAAUUUUAAGUCCAAUCUGCUCAAUGAAUUUUAAAUAGCUGCAGUAUUCCUGACUGUACUAAGGUAGCAUAAUAAUUAGGCUUUUAAUUUAAGUCUUGAAUGAAAGAUUAAAUGAAGUAUCUACUGUCUCACUAAAUUUAAUUUAACUUAAUUUUUAAGUCAAAAAUCUUAAAUUACAUUAAAAGACGAGAAGACCCCGUAGAAUUUUAUACCUAAUCGUAAUAAUUUAAAUAUAUUAAAAUUAUGAUUAUUAUGACUAAAUAUUUAAUUGGGGAAAUUUUAAAACUAAAAAAACUUUUAAUUUAACUCUUACAUAAAUUAAUGGCCUCUACAACCUAAUUCUAGAAAAAAAAAUUAAUUACCUCGGGGAUAACAGCAUAAUUUUUUUCCGGAGUUCUCAUCUAAAAAAAAGUUUAUGACCUCGAUGUUGAAUUAAGAUUUAAUUAAAACGAAAAAUUUUUAUAAUUUUAGUCUGUUCGACUAUUAAGAUCUUACAUGAUUUGAGUUAAGAUCGGCGUAAGCCAGAUCGGUUUCUAUCUUUAACCUACCUAAAUAUAUUUGUACGAAAGGAAUUUAUAUUUUAAAUAAUUUUAUAGAUACUAAUUAU